UCUGUAGAUGAAGAUGAUGAAGAUGAGAUCGUCAUUAUCCGGGGAGCUCCAACUCAAGCACUAGUAACUUCAAAUCAAGACCUCGUUAAUACCAUGGAACUAUAGCUGGUGGUACUGGCGACAGAACCAAACUUAUAUUUCCUUGUGGCCUUGUGUAUGGAAAAAUAUGGUUAUGAAUUUAUGAUCUUUCUUGCUUUUUUUUUAUGGGAAAAUCUUUCUUUUUUUAUCUUAUAAGCUGUGGAUUGUUAUAAACGUUUAAGAGUAUGAUUUAAUCA
Molecule: long non-coding RNA, 275 nt
Organism: Raphanus sativus (radish)
Lineage: Eukaryota; Viridiplantae; Streptophyta; Magnoliopsida; Brassicales; Brassicaceae
Exons: 2
Source: RefSeq, a predicted model, not a curated record